AAGCGCCUUACGUCACAUCCGGCAUGUCAGAGCAGUGCGCACAAGAACUCGGCGUUCAGGAGACGAAGAAUCAACAGACGUAGCAGCGCAAGCUGAAGAGAGAAGGAGGCUCGAAAACAGCGAAUAUGCAAGAACCUGAGGAGGAAGGAGAGUCGUCAAGGAAGAAAAGCAAACCUGAAAAUAUUGUGUCUAAAUCCAAAAAAAAAAAAAAGCACACGCAGAAGAGAACGACGACGUGCUAUAGAUAAAGGCACACGCAAACAGACGAGACAACAGUUCAGUGAAUCAGAGAGGAACAUGAGGAAC
This is a long non-coding RNA of Polypterus senegalus (gray bichir), 306 nucleotides long. RefSeq lists it as uncharacterized. The transcript has 3 exons. The record is from RefSeq and is a predicted model, not a curated record. NCBI's taxonomy places the organism in Eukaryota, Metazoa, Chordata, Cladistia, Polypteriformes, Polypteridae.